GGGUUGUGAGGUUAAGCGACUAAGCGUACACGGUGGAUGCCCUGGCAGUCAGAGGCGAUGAAGGGCGUGCUAAUCUGCGAUAAGCGCCGGUAAGGUGAUAUGAACCGUUAUAACCGGCGAUACCCGAAUGGGGAAACCCAGUGUGACUCGUCACACUAUCAUUAACUGAAUCCAUAGGUUAAUGAGGCGAACCGGGGGAACUGAAACAUCUAAGUACCCCGAGGAAAAGAAAUCAACCGAGAUUCCCCCAGUAGCGGCGAGCGAACGGGGAGGAGCCCAGAGCCUGAAUCAGCAUGUGUGUUAGUGGAAGCGUCUGGAAAGGCGCGCGAUACAGGGUGACAGCCCCGUACACAAAAGCGCAUGUGCUGUGAGCUCGAUGAGUAGGGCGGGACACGUGGUAUCCUGUCUGAAUAUGGGGGGACCAUCCUCCAAGGCUAAAUACUCCUGACUGACCGAUAGUGAACCAGUACCGUGAGGGAAAGGCGAAAAGAACCCCGGCGAGGGGAGUGAAAAAGAACCUGAAACCGUGUACGUACAAGCAGUGGGAGCACAGGUUUACCUGUGUGACUGCGUACCUUUUGUAUAAUGGGUCAGCGACUUAUAUUCUGUAGCAAGGUUAACCGAAUAGGGGAGCCGGAGGGAAACCGAGUCUUAAUUGGGCGUUAAGUUGCAGGGUAUAGACCCGAAACCCGGUGAUCUAGCCAUGGGCAGGUUGAAGGUUGGGUAACACUAACUGGAGGACCGAACCGACUAAUGUUGAAAAAUUAGCGGAUGACCUGUGGCUGGGGGUGAAAGGCCAAUCAAACCGGGAGAUAGCUGGUUCUCCCCGAAAGCUAUUUAGGUAGCGCCUCGUGAAUUCAUCUCCGGGGGUAGAGCACUGUUUCGGCUAGGGGGCCAUCCCGGCUUACCAACCCGAUGCAAACUGCGAAUACCGGAGAAUGUUAUCACGGGAGACACACGGCGGGUGCUAACGUCCGUCGUGAAGAGGGAAACAACCCAGACCGCCAGCUAAGGUCCCAAAGUCAUGGUUAAGUGGGAAACGAUGUGGGAAGGCCCAGACAGCCAGGAUGUUGGCUUAGAAGCAGCCAUCAUUUAAAGAAAGCGUAAUAGCUCACUGGUCGAGUCGGCCUGCGCGGAAGAUGUAACGGGGCUAAACCAUGCACCGAAGCUGCGGCAGCGACGCUUAUGCGUUGUUGGGUAGGGGAGCGUUCUGUAAGCCUGUGAAGGUGUGUCGUGAGGCAUGCUGGAGGUAUCAGAAGUGCGAAUGCUGACAUAAGUAACGAUAAAGCGGGUGAAAAGCCCGCUCGCCGGAAGACCAAGGGUUCCUGUCCAACGUUAAUCGGGGCAGGGUGAGUCGACCCCUAAGGCGAGGCCGAAAGGCGUAGUCGAUGGGAAACGGGUUAAUAUUCCCGUACUUGGUGUUACUGCGAAGGGGGGACGGAGAAGGCUAUGUUGGCCGGGCGACGGUUGUCCCGGUUUAAGCGUGUAGGUGUGUGUUCCAGGUAAAUCCGGUUCACUUUAACACUGAGGCGUGAUGACGAGGCACUACGGUGCUGAAGCAACAAAUGCCCUGCUUCCAGGAAAAGCCUCUAAGCAUCAGGUAACAUCAAAUCGUACCCCAAACCGACACAGGUGGUCAGGUAGAGAAUACCAAGGCGCUUGAGAGAACUCGGGUGAAGGAACUAGGCAAAAUGGUGCCGUAACUUCGGGAGAAGGCACGCUGACAUGUAGGUGAAGUGAUUUACUCAUGGAGCUGAAGUCAGUCGAAGAUACCAGCUGGCUGCAACUGUUUAUUAAAAACACAGCACUGUGCAAACACGAAAGUGGACGUAUACGGUGUGACGCCUGCCCGGUGCCGGAAGGUUAAUUGAUGGGGUCAGCGCAAGCGAAGCUCCUGAUCGAAGCCCCGGUAAACGGCGGCCGUAACUAUAACGGUCCUAAGGUAGCGAAAUUCCUUGUCGGGUAAGUUCCGACCUGCACGAAUGGCGUAAUGAUGGCCAGGCUGUCUCCACCCGAGACUCAGUGAAAUUGAACUCGCUGUGAAGAUGCAGUGUACCCGCGGCAAGACGGAAAGACCCCGUGAACCUUUACUAUAGCUUGACACUGAACAUUGAGCCUUGAUGUGUAGGAUAGGUGGGAGGCUUUGAAGUGUGGACGCCAGUCUGCAUGGAGCCGACCUUGAAAUACCACCCUUUAAUGUUUGAUGUUCUAACGUGGACCCGUUAUCCGGGUUGCGGACAGUGUCUGGUGGGUAGUUUGACUGGGGCGGUCUCCUCCUAAAGAGUAACGGAGGAGCACGAAGGUUGGCUAAUCCUGGUCGGACAUCAGGAGGUUAGUGCAAUGGCAUAAGCCAGCUUGACUGCGAGCGUGACGGCGCGAGCAGGUGCGAAAGCAGGUCAUAGUGAUCCGGUGGUUCUGAAUGGAAGGGCCAUCGCUCAACGGAUAAAAGGUACUCCGGGGAUAACAGGCUGAUACCGCCCAAGAGUUCAUAUCGACGGCGGUGUUUGGCACCUCGAUGUCGGCUCAUCACAUCCUGGGGCUGAAGUAGGUCCCAAGGGUAUGGCUGUUCGCCAUUUAAAGUGGUACGCGAGCUGGGUUUAGAACGUCGUGAGACAGUUCGGUCCCUAUCUGCCGUGGGCGCUGGAGAACUGAGGGGGGGCUGCUCCUAGUACGAGAGGACCGGAGUGGACGCAUCACUGGUGUUCGGGUUGUCAUGCCAAUGGCACUGCCCGGUAGCUAAAUGCGGAAGAGAUAAGUGCUGAAAGCAUCUAAGCACGAAACUUGCCCCGAGAUGAGUUCUCCCUGAGACUUAGAGUCUCCUGAAGGAACGUUGAAGACGACGACGUUGAUAGGCCGGGUGUGUAAGCGCAGCGAUGCGUUGAGCUAACCGGUACUAAUGAACCGUGAGGCUUAACCUUACAACGCCGAAG
Molecule: ribosomal RNA, 2930 nt
Filed under: Salmonella enterica subsp. enterica serovar Tennessee
Lineage: Bacteria; Pseudomonadati; Pseudomonadota; Gammaproteobacteria; Enterobacterales; Enterobacteriaceae
Description: bacterial LSU rRNA
Rfam family: Bacterial large subunit ribosomal RNA
Source: RNAcentral